This 56-nucleotide microRNA precursor is filed under the name Fasciola hepatica (liver fluke). RNAcentral describes it as "microRNA fhe-mir-3479 precursor". The record is from miRBase by way of RNAcentral. Lineage: Eukaryota; Metazoa; Platyhelminthes; Trematoda; Plagiorchiida; Fasciolidae.
CGGCGGAGGCUUUUGCAAUGUAUCUAGCGGAAUGUAUUGCACUUUCCUUCGCCUUA